RNAcentral lists this transfer RNA (73 nucleotides) under Elusimicrobiota bacterium. RNAcentral's name for it is "Elusimicrobia bacterium (hydrocarbon metagenome) tRNA-Cys". It matches the Rfam family "tRNA". From Rfam's summary of the family: Transfer RNA (tRNA) molecules are approximately 80 nucleotides in length. Their secondary structure includes four short double-helical elements and three loops (D, anti-codon, and T loops). Further hydrogen bonds mediate the characteristic L-shaped molecular structure. tRNAs have two regions of fundamental functional importance: the anti-codon, which is responsible for specific mRNA codon recognition, and the 3' end, to which the tRNAs corresponding amino acid is attached (by aminoacyl-tRNA synthetases). tRNAs cope with the degeneracy of the genetic code in two manners: having more than one tRNA (with a specific anti-codon) for a particular amino acid; and 'wobble' base-pairing, i.e. permitting non-standard base-pairing at the 3rd anti-codon position. Lineage: Bacteria; Pseudomonadati; Elusimicrobiota. The record is from RNAcentral.
GGUGCGGUACCCAAGUGGCUAAGGGAGCAGUCUGCAAAACUGUUAUUCGCCGGUUCAAAUCCGGCCCGCACCU